Molecule: ribosomal RNA, 267 nt
Filed under: uncultured bacterium
Lineage: Bacteria
Description: partial 16S ribosomal RNA
Rfam family: Bacterial small subunit ribosomal RNA
Source: RNAcentral
GUCCAUGCUGUAAACGAUGGGUACUAGUUAGUGCGGGUAUUGACCCCUGCGCUGACGAAGCUAACGCAUUAAGUACCCCGCCUGGGGAGUACGGCCGCAAGGCUAAAACUCAAAGGAAUUGACGGGGGCCCCGCACAAGCGGUGGAGCAUGUGGAUUAAUUCGACGCAACGCGAAGAACCUUACCUGGCCUUGACAUCCCGGGAACCGGCUUGAAAGAGCUGGGUGCCUUUCGGGGAACCCGGAGACAGGUGCUGCAUGGCUGUCGU